GAUGAACGCUGGCGGCGUGCCUAAUACAUGCAAGUCGAGCGAACAGACGAUGAGCUUGCUCCUCUGACGUUAGCGGCGGACGGGUGAGUAACACGUGGAUAACCUACCUAUAAGUCUGGGAUCAUUUCGGGAAACCGGCGCUAAUACCGGAUAAUAUAUUGAACCGCAUGGUUCAUUGGUGAAAGACGGUUUUGCUGGAUGUUAUAGAGGGUUCUGCGCCGCUUUAGCUAGUUGUUAAGGUAACGGCUUACCAAGGCAACGAUGCGUAGGCGAAGUAAGAGGGGGAUCGGCCACACUGGAACUGAGACACGGACCAUACUCCUACGGGAGGCAGCAGUAGGGAACCGUCGGCAGUAGGCGAAAGCCUGACGGAGCAACGCGACGUGAGAGAUGAAAGUCUUGGGAGCGUAAAACUCUGCUACUAGGGAAGAACAAAUGUCGAAGUAACCAUGCACGGCGUGACGGUACCUAAUAAGAAAGCCACGGCUAACUACGUG
RNAcentral lists this ribosomal RNA (497 nucleotides) under uncultured bacterium. RNAcentral's name for it is "partial 16S ribosomal RNA". It matches the Rfam family "Bacterial small subunit ribosomal RNA", at positions 28 to 507 of the family's 1533-position model. The record is from RNAcentral.